CCUACGGGAGACAGCAGUGAGGAAUAUUGGUCAAUGGGCGUAAGCCUGAACCAGCCAAGUCGCGUGAGGGAUGAAGGUUCUAUGGAUCGUAAACCUCUUUUAUAAGGGAAUAAAGUGUGGGACGUGUCCUAUUUUGUAUGUACCUUAUUAAUAAGGAUCGGCUAACUCCGUGCCAGCAGCCGCGGUAAUCCGGAGGGUCCGAGCGUUAUCCGGAUUUAUUGGGUUUAAAGGGUGCGUAGGCGGCCUUUUAAGUCAGCGGUGAAAGUCUGUGGCUCAACCAUAGAAUUGCCGUUGAAACUGGGGGGCUGGAGUAUGUGUGAGGCAGGAGGAAUGCGUGGUGUAGCGGUGAAAUGCUUAGAUAUCACGCAGAAACGCGAUUGCGAAGGAAGCCUGCCAAGCCAUGACUGACGCUGAUGCACGAAAGCGUGGGGAUCAAACAGGAUUAGAUACCCUUGUAGUC
RNAcentral lists this ribosomal RNA (460 nucleotides) under uncultured bacterium. RNAcentral's name for it is "partial 16S ribosomal RNA". It matches the Rfam family "Bacterial small subunit ribosomal RNA", at positions 338 to 795 of the family's 1533-position model. The record is from RNAcentral.